RNAcentral lists this long non-coding RNA (814 nucleotides) under Sus scrofa (pig). RNAcentral describes it as "lncRNA (ENSSSCG00015080455.1)". Lineage: Eukaryota; Metazoa; Chordata; Mammalia; Artiodactyla; Suidae. The record is from RNAcentral.
CUCUGGGAGGCGCUGCGGGCUGGGAGCAGGGGGGCCACGGUCACAUGCUUUGCUCCUCCUGCCACCUCGGGUGGGUCUGGGUGGACCUGCCAUCUGCCUGCAGCCGGUCCCCGAGGGGCUGGCCAUCUGAGUCACCUGGACUGACCUGGACUCCCUGUGUCAGCUUGGCAGCAGGUUCCUUUGCUCUUACCUCAUCUGCACCUGCUGGCUUCUGGACAAGGAGUGGGAUCACGUGGCCCAGGAGGAGCUCGGCACAGCUCCAGCUAGAAGAGGUGGGACACAGUGAAAAGGACCGUCUGGCCCGAGGACCGAGGACCUCUCAGAUGCAGCACCUGUCUGCUGGCCCUGCUCUGACACACCUCCUCAGGCGGCCCAGACCCUCAGCCCCCUGACUGCUCACCUGCGGGGCUCUUCAGUACCUGCUCUGGCCCCAGCCUGGCCCCUCUCCCAGAGGGAGCUGGGUGCAUGUGGGGUUGAGCUCAGACCGCCAGCUUAGAGGGGGCCCAGUGCCCAGAGACCUCAAGUGAGAUGCCUCAACUUAGGGGUAUGUGAGGGCCCGCACACUCACGCACACGCAUACCCCCCAUGCAGCUGACCUAUGCGUAUAGCUGCAGAGAGGGGUCUGGGGGGGUCACACUCAGAAAAUGAUGGUGAUGGAUUGCUGGAUUGCUCUGGGGGGUGUGCCUCUGCCUGCAGACUAUCUUCUCAAAUUACCUGAGUUUUUUAAAAUACAUUGGAAAGACAUGUACUCAUCAUUUUCUCGUUUAAAAAUUAGUUGUAAAUAAAAUACAGGUGAACAAUUGCAAAAAAAAAA